RNAcentral lists this ribosomal RNA (450 nucleotides) under Louisea nkongsamba. Its description in RNAcentral is "partial large subunit ribosomal RNA". The stretch from base 332 to 450 matches the Rfam family "Bacterial large subunit ribosomal RNA", at positions 2473 to 2592 of the family's 2925-position model. Lineage: Eukaryota; Metazoa; Arthropoda; Malacostraca; Decapoda; Potamonautidae. The record is from RNAcentral.
AUUACUAACCGUGCAAAGGUAGCAUAAUCAUUAGAUUUUUAAUUGGAGUCUUGUAUGAAUGGUUGGACAAAAGGAAUACUGUCUUUAUAUUAAAAUUGAAUUUAACUUUUAAGUGAAAAGGCUUAAAUAAUCUAAAGGGACGAUAAGACCCUAUAAAGCUUUAUAUUAUAAUUAUAUUUUAUUGAGUUUAUAAAUAAAUUUUUAAUUUGAUUAUUUAUUGUGUUGGGGAGAUAUAAAUAUAAUUUAUAUUAACUGUAAGAUUAUAAAACAAAUAUUAAUGAAAUAUUCGGAGAUCCUUUAUUUAAAGAUUAAAAGAUUAAGUUACUUUAGGGAUAACAGCGUUAUUUUUUUUAAGAGUUCAUAUCGACAAAAAAGUUUGCGACCUCGAUGUUGAAUUAAAAUUUCUAUAUAAUGAAGGGAUUAUAUAAGAAGGUCUGUUCGACCUUUAAA